AUUGAACGCUGGCGGCAGGCCUAACACAUGCAAGUCGAGCGGAUGAAGGGAGCUUGCUCCUGGAUUCAGCGGCGGACGGGUGAGUAACGCCUAGGAAUCUGCCUGGUAGUGGGGGAUAACGUCUGGAAACGGGCGCUAAUACCGCAUACGUCCUGAGGGAGAAAGUGGGGGAUCUUCGGACCUCACGCUAUCAGAUGAGCCUAGGUCGGAUUAGCUAGUUGGUGGGGUAAAGGCCUACCAAGGCGACGAUCCGUAACUGGUCUGAGAGGAUGAUCAGUCACACUGGAACUGAGACACGGUCCAGACUCCUACGGGAGGCAGCAGUGGGGAAUAUUGGACAAUGGGCGAAAGCCUGAUCCAGCCAUGCCGCGUGUGUGAAGAAGGUCUUCGGAUUGUAAAGCACUUUAAGUUGGGAGGAAGGGCAGUAAGUUAAUACCUUGCUGUUUUGACGUUACCAACAGAAUAAGCACCGGCUAACUUCGUG
Molecule: ribosomal RNA, 484 nt
Filed under: uncultured bacterium
Lineage: Bacteria
Description: partial 16S ribosomal RNA
Rfam family: Bacterial small subunit ribosomal RNA
Source: RNAcentral